RNAcentral lists this long non-coding RNA (480 nucleotides) under Citrus x clementina. RNAcentral's name for it is "Citrus clementina (C. clementina) long non-coding RNA (CCLE_LNC001370)". Lineage: Eukaryota; Viridiplantae; Streptophyta; Magnoliopsida; Sapindales; Rutaceae. The record is from RNAcentral.
CCAUUAUUCAACGACCGUGAGUUGUGGCGGCCGAAGCUUUAAAGCUCAAUCACCAAGUCUUUGUUUGAAAGGUACCGAAAAUAACUCCAAUAAAAUCUGACAACUAGUAGUUAUUCGAAAGGUCUAAAAAGUAAAAACCACCAUUAUUCAAUAAAUUUAUCUAAGUCUUUCUAAAGGUUGUGGUGGGCAAAUUUUCGAAAAUCCAAACCCAAUUGAACAUGUAGAUUUAUCUUUGUACCAUAGAAAAAUAUAUUUUAAAGCAGUAGCAGAAAGUAAGUUGAGAGUUCUUUUUGUCAAUUCCAUUGAAUUAUGUCUAUCUAAGCUGUUAUGCCGUUUGAAAGAAUAUAAAUAUUUAGUAUUAAUUUUAACCUACGAGAGAACGAGGGAGAGGCAAGUAAACCUUUUAGACUAACAAGGAAGGGGGGAAAAAAAGAAAAAAAAGAAGCAAGAUUCCAUUGGAUAAAAUAUAAUUGUACAAAA